RNAcentral lists this ribosomal RNA (468 nucleotides) under uncultured bacterium. RNAcentral's name for it is "partial 16S ribosomal RNA". It matches the Rfam family "Bacterial small subunit ribosomal RNA", at positions 28 to 507 of the family's 1533-position model. The record is from RNAcentral.
GACGAACGCUGGCGGCGUGCUUAACACAUGCAAGUCGAACGGAAAGGCCCUGCUUUUGUGGGGUGCUCGAGUGGCGAACGGGUGAGUAACACGUGAGUAACCUGCCCUUGACUUGGGGAUAACUUCAGGAAACUGGGGCUAAUACCGGAUAGGAGCUCCUGCUGCAUGGUGGGGGUUGGAAAGGUUCGGCGGUGGGGGAUGGACGCGCCGCUUAUCAGCUUGUUGGUGGGGUAGUGGCUUACCAGGGCUUUGGCGGGUAGCCGGCCUGAGGGGGUGACCGGCCACAUUGCGACUGAGAUACGGCCCAGACUACUACGGGAGGCAGCAGUGGGGAAUAUUGCACAAUGGGCGGACGCCUGAUGCAGCAACGCCGCGUGCGGGAUGACGGCCUUCGGGUUGUAAACCGCUUUCGCCUGUGACGAAGCGUGAGUGACGGUAAUGGGUAAAGAAGCACCGGCUAACUACGUG